Moniliophthora roreri MCA 2997 is the source of this 405-nucleotide non-coding RNA. It matches the Rfam family "RNase MRP". Rfam says of the family: RNase MRP is an enzymatically active ribonucleoprotein with two distinct roles in eukaryotes. NCBI's taxonomy places the organism in Eukaryota, Fungi, Basidiomycota, Agaricomycetes, Agaricales, Marasmiaceae. The record is from Rfam.
AUGCCGUCUGAAGAUUCGUUGUCGCAGCUUUCGCACAGGGGGACCCGUUCUCUCUCUUUCGGCUGUGGGGAAAGUCCCCGGAGACCACAGAGCAUAUCCUCAUCCAAUUAACGGAAAGCGACCGCCUCUAAGCACGACGGUACUGGAUCAAGGAUGGCAGGGAUCACUUUGUUCUUUCUGGUUUCGCUCCCAGAGAAGCAUCUACCUCGUCACUCUGUCGCCUACAUUCUGAAGACUGCAUUCGGCCAAGUCAUCAAAUGGCGCGAAGAUAUGAGCGUAUUUGGUGUUCGAAUGACCGGUUGGAAGAUGGGCAAUCUUGUUGCUCAUAGAUAUAGUUAUGCGAUUGUCGACCUGGUUGGCUUGUCAGCCGGUCUUCAACUCAAUGGGGCUCACUAUCAUUCGGCA